Mercenaria mercenaria is the source of this 3573-nucleotide long non-coding RNA. RefSeq lists it as uncharacterized. NCBI's taxonomy places the organism in Eukaryota, Metazoa, Mollusca, Bivalvia, Venerida, Veneridae. The record is from RefSeq and is a predicted model, not a curated record. The transcript has 2 exons.
CGUAUAUUGUACGAUUGUAUUGUUUAGUUUAAGCAUAAAGCAUUCUCUAUAAUUAACCAACAAAAUAGGCGCCCAGUUAUCUCUAAAGAUCGGAAACGUAUCAUAUGACAAGAUUUGUUUUCUCAUGUAAAUGGGCAGAUAAAGGGGUGAACACUUACUGAGCGGCUGAAAAUAUUCACUGGAAAAUAAUUAUUUUGUGUAGUUGAAAGCUUCAAAAAAAUGCGAAACGUCAGCAGUCAGAAGGAUGAUGUUUACUGAAUGUAUUGUGUACAAAAGAAGCUUUAGAGGCGUUUUUUUGCUAUGCAUAUUCUGUGUCAUACGGGAGUACUAGACUGUUUUCUGAUCGCGCGGAGAACCCAAGACUGCAAUCUUUGGAAGUAAGUGAUAAACUAAUUCGAGUCUCCUCCCAGCUUGCGAAGAGGUGAGAUUCGUGAAUGCGUAACUAAUCAAGUUUAAUUGUUUUAGGCUUAUACAACUGACGUGAGUACAGAGCAGUACUGUGUUGCGCAGAACUAAAAACCGCGAUUUAUUGGAAAACUGGAAAAUCAUAACAUGACUGCUUCCUGACUGUGAGGAAAAUAGGACCAGUAUUUGUGGGAUUAUUGGAAAACUAGCGAAGAGUUUAAAAAAAAAGGACAACAAUAGAUGUUAAAGUUCUUUACUGUUUGUUUUCUGGUCGUACAGAACUAAAGAGACUGCUUUCUGGUCAAUCCGAUCUUAAGGAUUAUUGGAACAUCCUUUUAUACCUCGAUCUGUGCAAGUAUUAAAAAAACAGUCGUGACUGCUUCCUUGGCGUGCAAAACUUCAAAGCUCGAUCUGCGGAAGUAUUAGAAAAUAAAUCGUGAUUGCUUCCUUAAUCGAUGCCUCAAUCUGUAGAAUUAUUGGAAGCUUAUGUGAUUUGUUCCUGGUUGCGCAGAACAGCGUUGUCAUUGGCGACUGCUUUCUGGACUUGAUUAUAGAGCACGAAUCGAGAUCUCCUGGAUUAUUUGGUAAUAGUUCAGUACAUUAUUAGAACUCGCACAGAAAUUGGCUAUAUAAGAUGCUUUGUCUCGUGUAACUACUGUGAUUCAGUAUAGAACUACUUUUAACCCUGCGAAUCAAGCUCCACAAAAUAUAUAAUGACGACCGGCGGGGUCAAGGAUAAAGUGGACAGGCUAAUUCGGGCAAAUAAAGUUGCAGUUUUCUCCAAACAGGGGUGUCCUUACUGCCUUGGGGCGCGCAACACAAUCAGGAAAUAUAUAGGAAAGCUACUGCCACAAUCAGCUGUCCUGUUUUAUGAUAUAGAGAAAGAAAAUGACACGAGAGAAACACAGAACUACCUGAGACUUAUAACGGGAGCUCCAUCGGUUCCGAAUGUUUUUAUCCAUGGAAAGUUUAUUGGUGGACACGAAAAGCUGAAGUUUCUACACAAGACCGGAGAACUAGAGGACAUUCUCAGAAGCGGUCCGGUUGUUAAAAAAUAGAUGAGCCGCGUCAUGAGAAAACCAACAUAGUGAGUUUGCGACCAGCAUGGAUCCAGACCAGCUUGCGCAUCCGCGCAGUCUGGUCAGGAUCCAUGCUGUUCGCUUUUAAAGUCUAUUGCAAUUAGAGAAACUGUUAGCGAACAGCAUGGAUCCUGACCAGACUGCGCGGAUGCGCAGGCUGGUCUGGAUCCAUGCUGGUCGCAAACCCACUAUGUUGAUUUUCCCAUGGCGCGGCUCAGAUGUAUCUCUGCGAUCUGGACUUAAGACUGAGUGACUGAUCGUAAAUGGAGAAAAAAACCUAUGGGUUAAUGAAAAAAAAAUCGUUUAAAAGUGGUUGCAAAAAGAACUGUUAUUUAACGUGUCAUACAAAUGUUUUGCCGUAUAUAUGCUUUUCCAGUGACUCAGAACAUGCAGUUGAUAUGCAUUGUAUAUAAAAACAAGAACUGUUUUCCAGUCUUAAAUAAAAAUGCAAUGAUAUGUUAGAACUGUUUUCCAAUCUAAAAACAUUGCGAUCAUAUGAAAGAACUGUUUUCCAAUCUAAAAACUUUGCGAUCAUAUAAAAGAACUGUUUUCCAAUCUAAAAGCUAAAAAUUGCGAUCAUACAGAACAACUGUUUUCCAAUCUAAAAACUGCGAUCAUAUAAAGAACUGUUUCCCAGUCUAAAAGCUUUGCGAUCAUAUUAAAGAACUGUUUUCCAUUCUAAAAGCUUUGCGAACAUUUAGAAAAACUGUUUUCCAAUCUAAAAACUUUGCGAUCAUAUGGAAGAAUUAUUUUCCAAUCCAAAAACUUUGCGAUCAUAUGAAAGAACUGUUUUCCAAUCUAAAAACUUUGUGAUCAUAUGAAAGAACUGUUUUCCAAUCUAAAAACUUCAUGAUCAUAUGAAAGAACUGUUUUCCAAUCUAAAACUUUGCAGUCAUAUUGAAGAACUGUUUUCCAGUCUAAAAGCUUUGCGAUCAUAUAGAAGAACUCUUUCCCAUUCUAAAAACUUCAUAUAAAAGAACUGUUAUCCAAUUUAAAAGCUACAAAUUGCGAUCAUACAAAAGAACUGUUUUCUAUUCUAAAAACUCUGUGAUCACAAUUAUGGAAAAAUUGUAUUCCAGUCUAAAAACUUUGUGACCAUAAGAAAGAACUGUUUUCCAUUCUAAAAGCUUUGCGAACAUUUAGAAAAAUUGUUUUCCAAUCUAAAAACUUUGCGAUCAUAUGGAAGAUUUAUUUUCCAAUCCAAAAACUUUGCGAUUAUAUGAAAGAACUGUUUUCCAAUCUAAAACCUUUGUGAUCAUAUGAAAGAACUGUUUUCCGAUCUAAAAACUUCAUGAUCAUAUGAAAGAACUGUUUUCCAUUCUAAAACUUUGCGAUCAUAUUGAAGAACUGUUUUCCAGUCUAAAAGCUUUGCGAUCAUAUAGAAGAACUGUUUUCCAUUCUAAACACUUUGCGAUCAUACAGAAGAACUAUUUUCCAAUCUAAAAGCUAAAAAUUGCGAUCUAUUCUAAAAUCUCUGUGAUCACAAUUAUGGAAGAACUGUUUUCCAAUUUAAAAACUUUGCGAUCAUAAGAAAGAAUUGUUUUUCAAUCUAAAAGCUUUACGAUCAUAUAGAAGAACCGUUUUCCAAUCUAAAAACUCUGCGAGCAUAUAAAGAACGAUCUAAAAGCUUUGCGAUCAUAUAGAAGAACUGUUUUCCAAUCUAAAACUUUGCGAUCAUAUGAAAGAACUGUUUUCCAAUCCAAAAUCUUUGCGAUCAUAUGGAACAAGAAAAGUACAUUCGCGCAAAAUUUGACUUCGUCAGUGUGACCAGUCACAAGCUUACAAAACGACCAAUGGAAAUGGUAAUAGGUGUGGUAAGAAAGUCAAGAAAAAAGAAGGAAAGACGGAAAGCUAAUGAAUACCAGCGAAGCAUUAGUUCAGUAUAGAAUAUCUAAAUGUGAAAAGCAUAAACCAGUCAAAUACAUCACUGCUAAUAUGGAAAAAUGUACAUGCCGCUGUUAAAGACGCAAUAUUGUCCUUGAAGGAAGCACUUACAUAAAAAAGGAAAUCAAAAUUUCACUCAAUUUUAUUAACAUGUGAAAAAAGUACAUUCCGUAUAAUUUGUGAACUUAUUUUUAUGCAAAACAUA